This 409-nucleotide ribosomal RNA is filed under the name Paratanytarsus hyperboreus. RNAcentral describes it as "partial 16S ribosomal RNA". Lineage: Eukaryota; Metazoa; Arthropoda; Insecta; Diptera; Chironomidae. The record is from RNAcentral.
UAGCAUAAUCAUUAGUUUUUUAAUUGAAGACUAGUAUGAAAGGUUUAAUAAAAAAUAAGCUUUAUAAAUUUAAUUAAAUUGAAUUUGUUUUUUUAGUAAAAAAACUAAAAUGUUUAAAAAAGACGAUAAGACCCUAUAAAGCUUUAUAAUAAUAAAAAAAUUUAUAAGUAGAAUAAUUUAUUUAUUUUUUUUUAUUAAUUAUUUGAUUGGGGUGAUUUAAAGAUUUAUUAAACUCUUUAUUUUUUUUAUCAUUGGUAUAUGUUUUUUUUUGAUCCUUUAAUUUAAGAGUAAAAAAUUAAGUUACUUUAGGGAUAACAGCGUAAUUUUUUUAAAGAGUUCAAAUCGAUAAAAAAGAUUGCGACCUCGAUGUUGAAUUAAGAUAAAGAUUAGGUGUAGAAGUUUAAUUUUU